Molecule: ribosomal RNA, 372 nt
Filed under: uncultured Limnohabitans sp.
Lineage: Bacteria; Pseudomonadati; Pseudomonadota; Betaproteobacteria; Burkholderiales; Comamonadaceae
Description: bacterial SSU rRNA
Rfam family: Bacterial small subunit ribosomal RNA
Source: RNAcentral
GCGAAAAACCUUACCCACCUUUGACAUGUACGGAAGCCUUUAGAGAUAGAGGCGUGCUCGAAAGAGAGCCGUAACACAGGUGCUGCAUGGCUGUCGUCAGCUCGUGUCGUGAGAUGUUGGGUUAAGUCCCGCAACGAGCGCAACCCUUGUCAUUAGUUGCUACAUUCAGUUGGGCACUCUAAUGAGACUGCCGGUGACAAACCGGAGGAAGGUGGGGAUGACGUCAAGUCCUCAUGGCCCUUAUAGGUGGGGCUACACACGUCAUACAAUGGCUGGUACAAAGGGUUGCCAACCCGCGAGGGGGAGCUAAUCCCAUAAAACCAGUCGUAGUCCGGAUCGCAGUCUGCAACUCGACUGCGUGAAGUCGGAAUC